GCUCCCGGGAGGGUGCCAGCUCAGGCCACACAGGCACCGGUGUCAGGGAGCCAUCUCCAACCACCACACCCCGUUCUCUCAGCCUUGCACGCACACACCAGGCACCACGGAAAGAAAAGGCCCACAGGCAACAGCAGGAGGCUUCAGUGUGGUACGGGGCGCAAUCUCUCACCCUCCACGGAUGGAAUUGCACCCAGGAUGGCCGGCUGUGUUCAUCCCGCCCCCAUUUCUCUGAAACCUCACCCAGGGCCACAGGGAGACACCUGCCCAGCCACCUCCCUCAGACGCCUUCCAGGCGCCUGGGUCCCUCUGUGGCUCUCCCGCCAGGGCCCGGGCGGAGGCUGCUUUGCUGGUGAGACGCUGUGACACAGAGGAUGGUCGAGUUCCAAGACCCACUACUCCUCAGGCUCUUCCGGAGCUCUGUGUCGAAUCUGUUGCUGUUUCCCCAACAGGACAGCCAGCGCCGGAGCAGCCAGCAAAACUGACAGCUGACCUUUACAGGGAUGUACUUCGCAUCUCCAAGACACACGGAAGGAAUCCUCUUUCCUCCUUGAGCUGGGCUCGGCAUUACACAGCUCUGGCUCAAUGCCGCUUGAUGACAAAAGAUCCAGGCGCCACUGGCCGUCUUAAUAGAAGUGCAGGAGGGGCUUCCUCAGGGACCUCGGAGCCACCCAACUGCUGGAGCAUCCCGUCCUCCGGUUCUCACCGUGUGGCAAACGAAAGCAGUCGCGCUGGCCGGGGCUGGGUGUGGAGGCACAGGCCUGCUCGCCGCUGCUGCUGGGGUGUGGUCUCCCUUCUGCUCACGGACGGACCUGAGCAGUGGCCCAGGAGCAAACAGGGCUCCCCCAUGAGGGUGGCCACGUGCCACCUCCCUUCUGCUCAUGGUGGGGUCUCCCUUCUGCUCACGGAGGGGCCCUGGAGUUUCAGGCAGGAGAAAUGCUUCCAAUUUAAAACAGCAGAUCAAUGUGGGAGUGGCACGGACGCUGUAACUGAGUGAAACAGCAGCUGGAGCAGAUGGCAUUUGGCACCGUUGGGUCCCGCUGUGGCCGUCAGCACUGGGACGUCGGAGCCACGGGAGAAUCUGGGAAGGUCUGGCCUGCAGAGCAGUGGCCCCGACUGUCCCCGGCAGUGCGAUGUCUGCGGCUGGCGGAUCCAGGUCGAUCUUGCAUCCUAGGAAGCUUCCACCACGAACGCCAACCCAGGAAGCCGCUGCUCUUACUUGAAGUUAUCAGAGCGGCAGGUUUACUCUUCCAGGGGACUAAACCCAGCGGGAACCCCAGACCUACAGCCAGUCAUCAGACCGUCAACAGAUGAAAUCCUCAAAAAUACAUGAUCCCUUUUGUGUUUGCCUCAGGUGUACAAUGAAGUCUGAAUUCCAAGUUUAAACAAAGAAAAACUUGGGGUCCGAAGUGAAACCGGACACCCCCCGAGUUAAUGCCAACACUUUCUAUGUCACGUUCCGGGCAGAGAGGCUGUUAGGCAGUCCAUGGCUAGGCAGCUCCUGGCUUCCCCAACAGGCAUCCGUCCGGUACCCAGGCCUCCCCGGCAGCCUCGGUGUGUGCCUUGCUGCGUUUCUGUCCCUCCUCCCGGGACAAAGGCAGUUGGCCGUGCAGCGUGGAGCAGAGGGGCUGUCUUGACACAUUCCUCGAGAUGCUGAGCUCCAACCUCCUCCCCACGCCCAACAGGGAGGCCUGGGGAGAGGAGGUGGUGCCAAGGGAGAAGGAAAUGAAAGCAAAGAAUUCCCAGAAUCAUACAA
This is a non-coding RNA of Macaca mulatta (Rhesus monkey), 1756 nucleotides long. The record is from RefSeq and is a predicted model, not a curated record. Lineage: Eukaryota; Metazoa; Chordata; Mammalia; Primates; Cercopithecidae.